RNA transcript from Carassius gibelio (silver crucian carp), 2395 nucleotides. It is a transcript of the gene named lysophosphatidic acid receptor 2, with no coding region annotated. NCBI's taxonomy places the organism in Eukaryota, Metazoa, Chordata, Actinopteri, Cypriniformes, Cyprinidae. The record is from RefSeq and is a predicted model, not a curated record. The transcript has 6 exons.
CCCCCUCAGUAGUACAGGUGAGUGAGUGCGGCGUCAUGAGACUCGGUCCGAGCCACGGACUGUAUUAACCAGAACCGAACUGACCCGAACUGACCCGAGCGGAGGAGACCUAGAUCUGGUUCCGUAUGACUCCAUGAAUGACCUCUGACCUGUGAAGCCCCGCCCCCUCCAGGCCCGUCCAAUCACGCGCAGCCGUAACGAUGGUUUGCCAUGACAAUGAGAGUAUCAAGUUCUUCUACGACAUCAGCAGGAAGAACAUCAGCGACACGUGGAGGACUAAAGACUACGUGGUGGUGUCUCUGGGCCUGCUGGUCUCUGUUUUCGUCAUCUUCACCAACAUCCUGGUCAUGCUGGCCAUCUUCAUGAACCGCAGGUUCCACUACCCCAUCUACUACCUGCUGGGGAACCUGGCGGCAGCCGACCUGUUCGCAGGCAUCUCCUACAUGUACCUGAUGUUCCACACGGGCCCCUGGACCAUCAAGCUGUCCACCAGUCAGUGGUUUAUCCGGCAGGGUUUGAUCGACACCAGUCUGACGGCGUCGGUCAUUAAUCUGAUGGCCAUUGCACUGGAGCGCCACCAGACAAUCUUCACCAUGCAGCUGCACAGUAAAAUGAGCAACCACCGGGUGGUGCUGCUGAUCAUCGGCAUCUGGCUCAUCGCCAUACUGUUGGGUUUGGUGCCCUCGAUGGGAUGGAGCUGCUUGUGCAACACCAGUGUGUGCUCGAACAUGGCACCACUCUACAGCCGCAGCUACCUGGUGUUCUGGGCCGUGCUCAACCUGCUGACCUUCACUGUCAUGCUGGCCGUUUACAUGCGCAUCUUCGUCUACGUGCUCCGCAAGAACCACCGCAUGAGCCAGCACACCUCGCAGGUCAAGCAGAAGGAGACGGUGCUCAACCUGAUGAAGACCGUCGUCAUGAUCCUGGGAUGUUUCGUGGUGUGUUGGACACCGGGGCUGGUGCUGCUGCUCCUGGAUGGAUUGUGUGAAUCCUGUGAUGUUCUGACCUACGAGAAGUACUUCCUGGUGCUGGCCGAGUGCAACUCCUUCAUGAACCCCAUCAUCUACUCCUACCGGGACAAGGACAUGCGCGACACCUUCAAACACAUCCUGUGCUUCCCGUGUCUGGGUCCUCAGCAGACGGGCGAGUUCUCGGGUGUGCACUUCAACACCGUCAAGCAGGAGCGGAGACGGCGUGUGCUGCAGGACUCGUGGCUCGUAUGUAGAUGAGCUUCAUUCAUUCUCUGUCUGUAGCGUCUCGGGCUGAUUCUCUCUGAGACAGCUGCUGUCUGGUUCUGCACGCGGGGCAUGAGCUGCACACCUGCUGCUGUCACCGGCGGAUGUUUUUUCACCAUGGGUUUCUCUCGUUUGUCCUCUUCAGUUCCUGUGUGUGUGUGUGUGACGCACAUGUUUGUGAAUGCUCCUCUAACGGCUGUGUAAUGAUGCAGUCGUGUUUCUGCCUGACAGAUGUGCAGCGUUCACUGCUGUGACCCAACCUCGUAAACAUUAGGUCUGUGGUUGAAGUGUGUCACGCGAGCAUCCGCUCUCUCUCUCUCUCUCUCUCUCACACACACACACACACACACUCUCUCUCUCUCACACACACACACACUCUCUCUCUCUCUCACACACACACACACACACACACACACACACUCUCUCUCUCUCUCUCUCUCUCUCUCUCACACACACUCUCUCUCUCUCUCACACACACACUCUCACACACACUGAGGUCCUCCGGUGGUGUUCUGGUGUAACUGCAUCACUCUGUAAUACCUCACCAGCAUGUGGCUGUACUCUCGGGCUCCUGCAGUAACAUCUAACACGUCCCUGGGUCUGUUACAGCUUCCAUCUGUUCUAUCAUAAGAGUUUUAUCCCUCUGAAUCGUACCGAAGCCUCUCAUCAUCUCAUGAUUUCAGUGUCUUACUGAAGAACUGGUUCAGACGAUGAGGAUGAUUGUGUGGUUUAAUCGCCUCACACAGAUAUCUGCUUCUGAUCGUGGUUUAUAGAUGCUCUGAUUCUAACCUGAUCAGGCUCGUAAGACUCGUGACGCAGACGGAGAGCAGGCGAACAGAGGACAGCUGGUGCUGAAGGAGACGGAGAACAUGCUGGACUCCAGCGAGAGCUGAGGAACGUCUGACUGGGAAUCAGUUCCUUGUACAUAUGGUUUUAUUUAAUUCCUGUCCUCCUGUUGAAGCUGGCGCAUGGUUUUUAUGUUGUACUUGAAAGCAGGCGACAGACAUGACUCGUGUUUGCAGUCGUCUGCACUAAUACUGAUUACUAUCCUCUUCUCCAGAAGCUCCUUUCUUUAUUUAAAAACAUUAGAAUCAAUGAAAUGAAUCAAUGUUGUGUAGAUUUUAAGGCAUUCUCAGUUGAAUAAACCCUUUUCUGAGUAA